UGGGGAAUUUUGGACAAUGGGCGAAAGCCUGAUCCAGCAAUGCCGCGUGUGUGAAGAAGGCCUUCGGGUUGUAAAGCACUUUUGUCCGGAAAGAAAUCCUUGGCUCUAAUACAGUCGGGGGAUGACGGUACCGGAAGAAUAAGCACCGGCUAACUACGUGCCAGCAGCCGCGGUAAUACGUAGGGUGCAAGCGUUAAUCGGAAUUACUGGGCGUAAAGCGUGCGCAGGCGGUUUGCUAAGACCGAUGUGAAAUCCCCGGGCUCAACCUGGGAACUGCAUUGGUGACUGGCAGGCUAGAGUAUGGCAGAGGGGGGUAGAAUUCCACGUGUAGCAGUGAAAUGCGUAGAGAUGUGGAGGAAUACCGAUGGCGAAGGCAGCCCCCUGGGCCAAUACUGACGCUCGUGCACGAAAGCGUGGGGAGCAAACAGGAUUAGAUACCCUGGUAGUCCACGCCCUAAAACGAUGUCAACUAGUUGUUGGGGAUUCAUUUCCUUAGUAACGUAGCUAACGCGUGAAGUUGACCGCCUGGGGAGUACGGUCGCAAGAUUAAAACUUAAAUGAAUUGACGGGGUCAUAGCUGUUUCCU
RNAcentral lists this ribosomal RNA (586 nucleotides) under uncultured bacterium. RNAcentral describes it as "partial 16S ribosomal RNA". It matches the Rfam family "Bacterial small subunit ribosomal RNA", at positions 355 to 1375 of the family's 1533-position model. The record is from RNAcentral.